This 234-nucleotide long non-coding RNA is filed under the name Phasianus colchicus (ring-necked pheasant). RNAcentral describes it as "lncRNA (ENSPCLG00000008817.1)". Lineage: Eukaryota; Metazoa; Chordata; Aves; Galliformes; Phasianidae. The record is from RNAcentral.
CCCCACUGCACUAAGCAAUGUAAAAAUAUAGAUAUCAUCUAUAUAUUUUUUUAGCUGGUUUUCCUGAGAAAAAGAGACAAAGACAGGCCUUGAGAGCAAUGAGUCAUGCUACUACUUUCUCCUCAAGUACAGUCAAUGUUCUGGGAUAAGGCAUUGGCCGAAGAAGCAGUUCUAAACUAUCUUCUUCAAGAGCAUACAAGGCUUUCCUUUUGCUUCAGAGAAAAGGAGUGCUGA